Molecule: non-coding RNA, 110 nt
Filed under: Bacillota bacterium
Lineage: Bacteria; Bacillati; Bacillota
Description: Firmicutes bacterium TPP sequence
Rfam family: TPP riboswitch aptamer (THI element)
About the family: Vitamin B(1) in its active form thiamin pyrophosphate (TPP) is an essential coenzyme that is synthesised by coupling of pyrimidine and thiazole moieties in bacteria.
Source: RNAcentral
AAUAGUGCCAAGGGGAGCUGGGGUAACCCGGCUGAGAAAGAACUGUUCCUGUUCUGACCCUUUGACCUGAUCUGGAUAAUGCCAGCGUAGGGAUGUUUUUAAGCUUUUUU